Gallus gallus (chicken) is the source of this 3449-nucleotide long non-coding RNA. The record is from Ensembl. NCBI's taxonomy places the organism in Eukaryota, Metazoa, Chordata, Aves, Galliformes, Phasianidae.
UUUUUUUUUUUUUUAAUGCCUAGUGAUAAAUAUUUACACAGCCAUGUUGCUACACAACCUCUGGCAAAUGUACACUGCUGUAAAUAUAUCAAGUCUCAGUCCUACUAGGACUUCUUAAUAAGCGUGUAAUCUUACUGAAGCCCAGAGAGCUUCUCCGAGCACACCAGCUAAUACUAAAUUUUCAAUCAUCUCUCUAUAAAGGGAAGAAUGGUAUUAACUUUCACAGAAUGUUUUGAGAUCCAUGGAUGAAAAUUACUGAUAAAGUGUGGAGAAUUAUUUAUUAAAUAACAAUGUAUAUGGGUUGUGAAAUAUCUGACAGCACGGAGCUGAAUUCAUGACUGAUUCUCAGCUCUGUUACUGUUUUAUGUUUCAAAGGCCUUUGAAGAACUUCUAGGUAUUUUUCCUAUUUUUUUUUUUUUUUUUACUGUAGCCCCCAGUGUACAGUUUCUGAAAAUGACCAGCAAGAAAUCCAGGAAGUCAAAACUGAAUGUGUUCUGAGAUGUCACUGAGGAAGUGUGAGAAGUUUUGUGAACGAACCGCAUUCAGACACUCAGUGUCUGAAUUUCUGCAUUUUCUCCCUCAUCCCUUGAAAACACAAACACAUAAUAGCAAAUAAGAAAAAAUACGUUGUACUCCUUAACGAAGGGGGAAAAAAAUCAAAGGAAUUUCACUUUCCAUCUCAGUUGAAUUCCAAACUGUUCAGUCUCUGUCAUACUGUCAGCAUAAAAUAUUUCAGUUCCCAAAAACUGAAAGAUUAACAUACCGGAGUUUUCUGGAUUUACUUCAUUUCUCUACUUCUUCAUCACUGAUUAUUUAUUUUUUUUAAAUUAAAAGUUAAUGAAUGAAAGCGACAGUAUGGGCCUGAAACUAAUCUCUCUUCCACAGUUCGUUGAAUGACAGAAGAAUCUCUUCCAAGACUGCAGAAGUUAUGCAGCCAAAACUGGUGGAGUGUUGGGGUUUAUAAAAAAGCUAUUUUAAUCCAUUUUGAUCUCUGGGGCAUAUCUUUGUGAUGUUCUUUCCACUGAAUUUUCAAGAGUAUGAAUUUCUGAGAUACGAAAUCCUCACACAGAGUUUCAAAAGAUCAUAUUUGUGAUCACAGUUCCCAUUGAAACUCCAGUAUAAGUAGUUCAAUUUUUCAAAAGAGCACUAACAACCAAAAUCUUUAGAAAAAAUAAUGUUGGUAUCAUCAAGUGGCACCACUCAAAGAUCUUUCCAAUCCGGACCCAUUAUAAGCACUGAGCAUCUGAACAUUGAGCUCCUAAGUGCCAUUGUUGAGGCUGUCAUCAUUCUUGCUUAAUUAAGCGGUGCCAAUUCUUCCAUAUAUGAACUUCAUGUAUGUGGACUGUAGGGGUACAGCAGUAAUUUAGACAGACUGUUGUUGGAGGUGAGGGGAAAAGAACUGAAGGUUUUAUCCAUUUUAGAGUAGCAGAAAUUACUAAAUAUAAGAUAGGCCUGUAGAACAAUUUUAUUUUAUUUUUUUAAACUUGAGGAAGAAUUUCUUUAAAUAGUUUCAGUGUAACACUCCUUUUGAUAAAGAAAUAAUCACUGUCUUUGGUUUAUUUGAAAACUUUGUAGUACUAAAACAUUCCAUGCAGGAAAUGUGCCUUGAAGAACCAAGAGCAAUUUCUUGCAGAAGAGCAACAAGGAAAGGUGUACAAAGUUCAGCCCGAGGCUGUUCUACCUAUCCUUUGCACACGAGCAGUGAAUGUCCCUGGCAUUCAGGAAGUGACAGCUGGUAUGAGAGGAACAACCAGGGGAGUGCGGGUGGCAAAACAGAAUGUGCUGAAGUUACCAUCUCAUCAGAGAAAAAUGUAUUAAUAUCUUAUGAUGUCCUGGGACAAGCCUGGAUCUACCCAAAAAUUGUAACUUGAAGAAUCCCAGUCUGCAAAUGCUGACCAUAGGAACAAAGAGAAAAGAUGGGCCAUAAUAAUAAUAAUAAACAACAACAACAACAACAUGAAUGUUAUGAAAUACUAGAUGGCUUGUGGACAAGUAUAAUUUGAUUUGAAACUGAACCACAAAAAAGCUGUGCUGUUCUGCUGCUGUUCUGCAAAGCAUGGAUGGUAGGACUCAGACCUAUCUAAAGACUGAGUUUAAUUUUGUGUUCAUAAGGCACUUUGAAUAUCUCCAAUAUCCCUUGGAUAUCUGUUCAGCCCAGAGUAGAGCAGGUUGAGGGGAGGCCUCAUGGCCUCACAGGGAGUGGAGGGGUAGCACUGAACUCUGCUCUCAGGUAACAGCAAUAGGUCCCAAGGGAAUGGCAUGGAGUUGCACUGCAUGAUGGUCAGGCUGGGUGGUAGGGAAAUAUUCUUCACCAGAGGGCAGUAGGCAUGGAACAGGCUUCUCCAGACAGUAGGCAGAGCCUCAAGCUGCCGGAGUUCAAGAAGCACUUGGACGACGCUCUCGGACAAAGGGUUUGAAUUUGCAUGUCUCAAUCUACCUUACACAGCUAAAUAGCCAAAUACAAUUUCAAGCCAAGCAUUCUCCUUCAUUGUCUCUCCUGAGGAGUCUCAUCUGCUGUUGUGUCCAGAAUAUGCAGUGUGGUUUAUAAACUUGCACAAUGGUUAGGGCACUGUACCAGAGGUAGGUGAAAGACUUUUGGUUCCCUUUUCCUCCUUGUCUGAGACAAGCUGGAAGGACAGGAGUGAUAACCAGAAGUGAAAACAGUUCAAGGCAGAAUGAGAGUGAGCAAAGAUUUCGAGUGUUCAGGGUACUGGCUGGGUUUGUCAAUCCUUCAUUGCCAUUUCUGUAGCUGUUAAGAAAAUUCAGAGGGCCACAAAAAUGAUUCAAGGGAUGGAACACCUCCCCUACCAUGACAGGCUGAGAGAGCUCCGGGGCUGUUCAGUCUGAAAAAGAGAAGGCUCAGGGGAGACCUGAGAGUGGCCAUUCGGUAUCUAAAGGGGAGCUCUAAGAAGGAAGGGGGCAGACUCUUUAGCAAGGUCUGUUGCGAUUGGACAAGGGGAAAUGGCUUCAAACUAAAAGAGAGGAAGUUUAGGUUGUAUAUAAGGAAGAAGUUUUUUAUGAUACGGGUGGGGAAGCACUGGCACAAGUUGCCCAGAGAGGUGGUGGAUGCCCAUCCCUGGAGACAGUCAAGGUCAGGCUGGACCAGGCUCUAAACUACCUGAUCUAACCAUAUGUGUCCCUAUUCAUUUCAGAGGAGCUAAACUUAUAAGUGUCCCUUUCAACUCAAACAAUUCUAUGAUUCUAUGAUUGCAUUAAAUUGAGGAAAAAGUUGUAGAGCAGGAACUAGAACCCAGAUCUGCCCUCUGCCUCCAGAUAUACCCUUCUCUGCUGAGCUUGGUGAACUUAAAAGUCCUUUUCCACAUUGAAAGUAGUUUAUAGGAUAAUAAUAGUGCCUUAUUUCUUUGUUGAGGUGCUAAGGAAAUACAAGUGUUUAAAUGCAAUCUUCUGCUGUAUUUUUUAAGAAUUAAUGUAAUAAAAGGAAUUCUUUC